Molecule: ribosomal RNA, 119 nt
Filed under: Lepisosteus oculatus (spotted gar)
Lineage: Eukaryota; Metazoa; Chordata; Actinopteri; Semionotiformes; Lepisosteidae
Source: RNAcentral
GACAGCAGCCAUAUCAUCCUGCAAUUCACAACUGGCAACCCACUGAAGCUCAGCAGGUGUGAGCCUGGUCAGUACCUGGAUGGGAGACCUCCUGGGAAAAACUCAGGUUGCUGCAGGGA